UACUCUUCACAAUACACUCACUCUACAUAUAGAGAUGAUGAAGAUAGUGAAAAAUUUGAACCUCAUAGGAACUCUAUGUGGUACUAAGUCACUCAUGUAUCUUAUCAUGCAAUGUAUAAAGUUUAAAAUAUUGUACUAAUUCAUUAUAUAUAAAUUAUUAUGGUGUGUUUAAACUUCUUUCAUUAAUUACUACAUAUUUUCUACACUCACAAUGUUUGCCAACUCGCUAUAUAAUCAACUUGAUAAUGUUAAAUCCAUCAUGCAAUGCAUUUCCUUCCAAUUUUUUGUGAUAAACUAAUAGAUAAUUGACUAAAUAAACAUCCUGCAAAGUUUCAAUAAAAAUUUCCAAGUUUUUCUUACAAUUUCUGUGGUUUCCAUAUUAUUUUUAUCGAUAUCGAUAUUAUCCCGAUAUUUCCAUCGAUAUUUCCGUGUUUUCGGACUACCGAUAUUUCCGAUAUUAUCGAUAUUUAAUACCUUGUGCAUAACAUACAAAUUUUCGAGCUUUGAAUUGCUUUGUACAAAGAUCAGUAUUUUGUUUUGUAUACAACUAUUGAACUUAUUAUUUGAAUCCAAAGUGGAAAAGUUAGGAAGACAUUCACAAAACCAAAUCAAACGCACCAAAUAUGACAUCAAAGAAUAAAUUAUGUAAAUUGACAGAUUGAAAGAAACUCAAUAUAGAUUAGAAAGAGAGAGAGAAUACCGGAGAAAGUGGGAAAGCGAAGAGAGACACAGUUGUAGAGGUUAACGAAGGAAGCCACUUCCAAGAAAAUGCAAGCUUGAAUAAUUAAAUUUAUUGUUACAGAUGAUUAACUCUAAGGUUUGUCAAUAUCUGUGAUAAAAUGCAUGUAAAUGGUUAAAUGGGUAAUUUAGCUCGUUUAUUUUACCUCAGCCACCAAAGCAAAAUUCAUUAAUCACCCAUUCUUAUUUAGAUCAUAGUUACAAAUACAUACAUAUAUUCUGGAAAGUUUAAAUAUGUAAUUGUGCAAAGCAUAUUAUGAGGGAACCAAAAAACCAAUAUAUAGAUGUAAAGAGAUUGAGAGAUGGGCUACCUAGCUGGACUUGGACUGGAGAAUAGUGUUGAUAACAUACCCAAGAAUGUGAUAUCCCGUCCCCAAAAUUAGUAUUUUAUUUUAUUCUUGACGUAUUUCAGAGAUUUAAUUGAAGUUAGUUUGUUAAAUUCUCAGGUUUUGAGAAAACGAAGUGAGGGAUAUUUCUGUCAUUUCCAAUUUUAUUCGACCUUUUCGGUCAACUCUUGAGGUUUUUAGGUAGAGCUUAAUUCAACGAGCGUGUAGGCCCAAAUGGAUCUCAAUGCCAAAUUAGAACGAAGAAGUUAGAGACGUUUGAAGUUGGAGGACAUUUUGGUAAGUGGCCAAAAUGUUAUAAAUAGAAGGAAGCCUCCUGAAAAUUUCCAAAAACAGAAAGGCUGAUUUCAGCCCCCAAUUUGGGGGGAUUUCAACCCAUUAACCCGCAAACUUGAUCCGCUCGUAUCUCCUUUAUCUGAGCUCCGUUUUGGGUGAUCUUAGUGUCCAUGAAAAGCUCAUGACGAGCCCUACAUCUCUGCAGUGUUAGAUUUCCCAUUUUCUUUUCCAUUUUUCCAGUUAAAAAACCACAAAGCCCACGAUUUUUUCGGCUGUUUUGUCAUUCUUCAGAUUCCGGCAACCAUUUCCUUCAAGUGAGGUAUGAAACUUCAUCUAAUCUUAUUAAUAUUCAAGUUGGUAUGCUUGGUUCGUGCUUUCGUAUUCGUUUUAGAGUUGGGUGUUUAGAACCCCUAGAAAUCCGGAGAAAUUGGAUGGUUUACAGCUUGAAUUUGUCUUCAGCCUAGUUAUGAAAAGUGUUUUCCUUGUUGAGCUCUAGCUACCCCUUAAAUUUGAGCCCUUUUGGUUAAAGUUGAAAAUGUCGGGUUUUCUAAACCCUCCACCUUGGCUACCACCGCGUGUGGCAGUGUGUGGGCCCGUCCACAAGUAUUAUCUAACUAGCAAAGACCUUCUAGUGACCUUGUGAACCUAUUUCUAGCUCGGUUUCCCAAAA
Molecule: long non-coding RNA, 2028 nt
Filed under: Malus domestica (apple)
Lineage: Eukaryota; Viridiplantae; Streptophyta; Magnoliopsida; Rosales; Rosaceae
Description: long non-coding RNA (MDOM_LNC010745)
Source: RNAcentral